GGUGGCGGAGGUGUGGAGCGCGCUGGAGAAGAGGGAGCGGCGGAGGGCGGAGCUGGCGGAGGUGGCGGGGCUGGAGCGGCGGAGGGAGGAGCUGGUCGAGGAGCGGAGGCGGGGCCAGAGGGGGCCGGAGGAGCGCGCGCGGGAGAGGGAGAAGGGCCCGGGCCUGCUGCGGCAGGCACGGAAGAGGAGGAGGCGGGGGCGGCGGGCGAGGCUACAGAGUGAGAGGCGGGAGGAGAGGCGCGAAGAUGCGCGCCCGGCGUAGCUGCUGGAGUUCAGUUGGAAGUUUAGGCGGCUCAGGAGCGAGCCGCAGCGGGGACCGGCGCGGAGGGUGUUGCACGAGGAGGUGCGAGACCAGUUCUCGAGACUCGAUGGGCGACGGGCGUUCGACGAGUUGCUUUACCGGUUCUUCUUCAAAUUCGUAGCGGGCGGGCGCCUGUAGUAUAGGAUGUUAUGAGAGGAGCGACCCAAGAGGCUCGUCCUGCUACGGCUCCUCAAACUCUUCGACGAGUUCCUUUAGUUACUCUUGUUCGACCUCGGAUUACAGCAGUGUAUGUUAACGGCCUACGCCACCAAACGUUCCUUCCCCCUUUGGAAGUUCCCGCUCCUCGACGAGCUACACUACCUCAGUUUUCCGCACGACGGGUUAAUGCAAUGAAUGUUACGCGAACACGUCCCCAUGACGUUCCUCCCCUUACGGCCCCGGCGGUACGCUCAUAAGUUCUCCUACUUCCACUACUUCUCCGCCCUCCCCUCCUCACUGAACCCUCACAGCCACGUGAGCGUCUGUAUACAGGACGACAAAUUCUCAAACCAUCUCUUCCUUUCCGAACUACUACGUGACACCGAAACAUUGUCGACGAAACGUUACUUCCGUCGGGGUAGUAAACUCCGACAGUUCCCAAAUCAGCUCCCCAACCAGUUCCCUCCCUCCAGACGUCUCCGGUUCCCACAACAACGAUUCUACUCGAAAGAACACUUUCCCCUACGAUUUCAACGAACCCUCUUCUAACGACCACUUAAUAGAGAACUUCUCCCUCGUGGUUCAAGUCUAGGUACUAAACAACCUCCGUACGUUCAGUCAAGACUAAAUAAGUUCACAAAACCGGAAACUUAUUGCAACUACUUCUUCUUCCCGUAAGUGUACCCAAGAUCAUAACAGAAGUACAAUAGUACCCGGAUAGAAAGUUCCAGGUUAUCAAUCUAGUCUCACAUUACAGAGAUAUUCCGUCUUACCAGUCACGGUAAAGUAUUAGGGAAAAGACGUUCUCGAAGAAGAUAAAACAACGGAAAACCGUUAUGAAUUUUUCUAUAAUGUAAACAAUUUCACGAUUCCCCUAGAACUAUGAUAGAUGAUAGAUAGUGACAUUGGCAAACAAAUCAUAUUAAGUCUUAUCAAAAUAUAUUACCAUACAAAGUUCGGAGUCAACAAGACGAAGAAAAAGGAAGACUCUCCUUCCAUCAUGGUCAUAAUCAAACG
RNAcentral lists this ribosomal RNA (1477 nucleotides) under Triticum aestivum (bread wheat). RNAcentral describes it as "partial small subunit ribosomal RNA". Lineage: Eukaryota; Viridiplantae; Streptophyta; Magnoliopsida; Poales; Poaceae. The record is from RNAcentral.